UGGGGAAUAUUGCGCAAUGGGGGAAACCCUGACGCAGCGACGCCGCGUGUGGGAUGAAGGUCUUCGGAUUGUAAACCACUGUCGCGAGGGACGAAGCUCUGACGGUACCUCGAAAGGAAGCACCGGCUAACUCUGUGCCAGCAGCCGCGGUAAUACAGAGGGUGCGAGCGUUAAUCGGAAUUACUGGGCGUAAAGCGCACGUAGGUGGCGACGUAAGUCGGGUGUGAAAGCCCCGGGCUCAACCUGGGAACCGCAUUCGAGACUGCGUUGCUGGAGUACGGAAGAGGAGGGCGGAAUUCCCGGUGUAGCGGUGAAAUGCGUAGAUAUCGGGAGGAACAUCAGUGGCGAAGGCGGCCCUCUGGUCCAGUACUGACACUCAAGUGCGAAAGCGUGGGGAGCAAACAGGAUUAGAUACCCUCGUAGUCCCUGAGCGGGCUGGCAAGGCGCAU
Molecule: ribosomal RNA, 449 nt
Filed under: uncultured bacterium
Lineage: Bacteria
Description: bacterial SSU rRNA
Rfam family: Bacterial small subunit ribosomal RNA
Source: RNAcentral